GAGUUUACGAUCCCCCAUGCUUUUUUCAAAGUUGCUGAGGGGCGGGAAUCUUCGUUGCGGGAAGAAGAAAAGGCAAAUCCGGCCUGGAAGCUGGGGGCCCUGAGCUGAGAGCCAAAGAAGGGCUAUUUCGCUUCCCCUGGACCUCGGAAUCGCCCAGCUAUCUACCCCUGGCUCCUGGAGAAACUUGAGGGAGGGCCCUUGACCCCCGAAUCGGUUUUUCCUGCCUUCCCCAUUGGACCAAUGAUGACCUUCUUUCUCCCCUUAUCGAGUCUUGGGCAAUCAGGGCCUUGGGGUGAGACAGCCAAGCUGCCUGGCCUACCUUCCAAGAAAGCACCCUGUGCUCCUAGCCUGGGGGCUACAGGAAAUGCUUGUCUGCCAUAUGGCAAGAAGCAAAGAAAAGCGUUAAGUUCAAGAUGUACAGCCUGCCCUCCCAGGCCUUUCCUUCUGCAAGCAUCUACGGCUUAGUGCUAAAACAGGCAAUUCCAAAGGUGAAAACGCAGCCAACUGGCUCACCGCAAAGAGUGGUCGGAAGAAGCGCUGCCCCUACACGAAGCACCAGACACUGGAGCUGGAGAAGGAGUUUCUGUUCAACAUGUACCUUACUCGAGAGCGGCGCCUAGAGAUUAGCCGCAGCGUCCACCUCACGGACAGACAAGUGAAAAUCUGGUUUCAGAACCGCAGGAUGAAACUGAAGAAAAUGAAUAGAGAAAACCGGAUCCGGGAGCUCACAGCCAACUUUAAUUUUUCCUGAUGAAUCUCCAGGCGACGCAGUUUUUUCACUUUCCGAGCGCUGGUCCCCUCUCUCUGUCUUCAGCCUCUGCCCAGGAACUCGCACCUGUGCUGGAGCCCUGUUCCUCCCUCCUACACUCGCCAUCUCCUGGGCCGUUACAUCUGUGCAGGGCUGGUUUGUUCUGACUUUUUGUUUCUUUGUGUCUGCUUGGUGCUGGUUUAUUUGUUGUUUUCUGGGAGAAAAAGCCAUAUCGUGCUAAAAUUCUAUAGAGAUAGAUAUUGUCCUAAGUGUCAAGUCGUGACUGGGCUGGGUUUGCUGUCUUGGGGUCCCACUGCUCGAAAUGGCCCCUGUCUUCGGCUGAGCUGGUUUCCUGCCCAGCCUGGGGCAAACCUAGCCGGAAGGCCGAGGUCCCAUUGUUGGCGCUGAGGUGUCUGGCCUGAGGUCAAUGGUGCAAAGG
RNAcentral lists this small RNA (1187 nucleotides) under Pongo abelii (Sumatran orangutan). RNAcentral describes it as "processed transcript". The record is from RNAcentral. Lineage: Eukaryota; Metazoa; Chordata; Mammalia; Primates; Hominidae.